Molecule: long non-coding RNA, 640 nt
Organism: Phyllopteryx taeniolatus (common seadragon)
Lineage: Eukaryota; Metazoa; Chordata; Actinopteri; Syngnathiformes; Syngnathidae
Exons: 3
Source: RefSeq, a predicted model, not a curated record
UACGUGAAUAUCCAUUGACAAAAUGUGUGAAUGACGUUUGGACGUGUGUUCUUUUCCAUAAUUCACGUUCCAAUAAUAAUAACUAGAGAAUACAAUGACAAACAGGGUAUGCGUUUGCUUUUUUUCCACAAUUCACAAGUUUAUUAUAACAAUAUUAACAAGGGAAUGCGAUGAAAAAUGCACAAAUUGGCAUGUACUGCCCUGCAGUACCGUUUUGGAGCCUGGAUAGCGCUUUGCACCCUCUCGUCCUCUCUCUCCCCUCCUCUCCCCUCCCCGCUCUGUUUCAGCUUCUCCUCAAGCCACGCACCUGUCUCCAAUCAACCCUCAUCACCACCUACAUUUAAGUCUACCUGUUCCCGGAAAUCCUCGCCAAAGUAUUGGAGCCUCUGCUAGCGGUACCACGGCCCACCGUACUCAUGUGAAGCAACAUGGUGGCCGCCAGGCAAUUCCUUCCCUCUCUAGCAGCUGCUAAAUCAGAACAACAAUCACAACACAAGCAGAAAGAAGUAUUUUCUUCUCUCCAUGAUUGCGUAUGGCGUGCAGUUUGGCAGAUACCGAGCAGUUCUUCAAAAAGAGUCAACAUGUGUUUCCUUCAAGCAGUUUAUUCACAUUCCCGGUUGGAUUUUAUUGUAAAACUAAC